Molecule: long non-coding RNA, 2376 nt
Filed under: Marmota monax (woodchuck)
Lineage: Eukaryota; Metazoa; Chordata; Mammalia; Rodentia; Sciuridae
Source: RNAcentral
AGAACUCUUACAUGUAUCUAAAAAAUUACGAAUUCCUAUUUGUAUUUUUAAAACUAAAUUGGUAAAAUUUACUGAAGGUAAAAGUCAUACAUCCUAUGUUUCAGCAAUUCUAGUCUCCUAUAUGCCCAAGAUAAAUUAGUGUCUGCUUGCAAUAUGACAUGAGAGUAUUUAUAUAAAUUUAUUCAUAAUAAAAAACUGGAAGCAACCCAAUAAUCCAUCCAAAGAGAAUAAAUAAUCUAAGUUAUAUUUCUAAAGCUUAAUACCGUAUUGUGGUAGAAAGUGUGAAUUGUUAAAAUAAGCUAUAACAUGGAUGAUAUUAACAGAAAAACUUUUAAGCAGAAAGAGUUAAACAUCAAGAAAUGCAUUCUAUAUUUUCCCUUUUAAAUAAAGUGUAAAAACAGACAAAACUACUAUUUAUUGGGAGAAGUCAGAGUAUUGAUAAGCCUUGAGGUUUUAGUCACUAGAAGGGACGACAGGGAGGUUUUUGAGAUUUGAAAAUCUUUUAUAUCUAGAUCUAAGUGGCUGCUUCACAGGUACAUUCUUUGUAAGAAUGAAUCGAACUCUAUAAGCAAUAAUUACACGUUACUCUAUAUAGAAUUUUCCUCAACAAAAAGUCAAUUAAAAAUGAGAUUCCAACAACCAUGUCAUGAAAUUAGAGAUUGCUCAACCUCUAGUAGAAUGGAAUGAUCAGAGAUUACUAAAUCAAUCACACAGGAUGAAAUAAUAGAGGCUAUAGAGUUGGGAAUAUCACACACGUGUCAUAAAAUAAUGUGUGUUUCAUGUGUGUAAGCAAGACUGAAGGAAUGAUGAAGAAACAUUUCUAGGGAUCACUCAGUGAAGCCCAGGAAGUCCACACAGAAUCAUGCAUCUUACGCAACCAUUGCGUAUUGUUCUAAGGUGUCCCAUGUUCUUGAUUCUUGACAACAUCUACCAUCUCUGCUCUUAUCUCAGUGCUGUUCUUCAAGUGUUUUUCUUCCUCUUCUUCAAUACUGACUGUAUUCAUUAUCUAAUUAUUUCUCUCUCUCUCUCUCUCUCUCUCUCUCUCUCUCUCUCUCUCUCUCUCUCUCUCUCUGUUUUUGGUGCAUGACUAACAAAUCUGACUUGACACCUGAACAUGGAUUCACUUCCCACUGAGCUAUAUUUUAGUUUACUUAACCUGCUCAUUUAUUCCACAGGUGUAUUUUGAUGAGAAAAAGAAAAGAAAAAGAAAAUGUGCUAAUCUCUUGAACUAUACAAUAAGGAGUGCAAAUGCUGUGCAGAGCCAUGUGUAAACAAUACAUGGCCUGCUGAGGAAUUCAGGGGAAGUCAGAGGAUGUGGAUGCAAACAGCAGGGAGCAGCAUUGCAUGGCAUCAGGUAGGAGCAAUCCUACAAUCCUGUAGGCUGCUCCAAGGAUAUUGUUCUUCUGUUUAAAGAGAAAUGUGGAUAUAUUGAAGUCAGCAGAAAGGAAGAGAGUGACAUUAUCACAUUUGUAUUUUGAUAAAAUCAUAUUUGAUGCAAUAUUACAGAUUGGAAGAAAGCUGGAGUAGGUGGAUGCAAGAAAUUAACUCAGGAGACAACUUGUCAAAAUCUGCAGAUGAUUUUGGAGAGAGUGCAAUGAGGACUCUGAGCAGAUGAAGAUUCAUCAGCAUCAACACGACAGGUGCUUAAAUACGUGGGAAUCAAUCCAGCAAAGGAUAUCAAAAACCUCUACAAAGAAAACUGCAGAACACUAAAGAAAUAAAUUGAAAAGGACCUUAGAAGAUGGUAAAACCUCCCAUGCUCUUGGAUAGGCAGAAUUAAUAUUGCCAUACUACCAAAAGUAAGUACUAUACAGAUUUAAUUUAAUUCUCAUUAAAUUCAGUAAUCUUCUUCACAGAAUAAUAAAAAAGCAGUUAAGAAAUUCACUUGGAAAAAUCAGAGAUCUACAAUAGUCAAAGCAUUUCUUAGUGCGAAAAGCAAAGCAUGAGGCAUUACAAUAUGAGACCUUAAAUGAUACUACAGAGUUGCAGUAACAAAAACAGCAUGGUAUCAGUACAUAAAACAGGCAUAAAGAUCAAUGGAACAGAGUAGAAGACACAGAGAAAAACCCACAUAAAUACAGUUAUCUGAUACUAGACAAUAGUGCCAAAAACAUGCAUUAGCGAAGAGAUAGCCUUUUAAAAAAUAUGGUGCUAUAAAACUGGAAAUCCAUAUACGAUAAAGUGAAAUUUAUCCCCUCUCUCUCAUGAUGCACAAACUCAUCUCAGAGUGGAUCAAAAGCCUAAGAAUUAGAUCAGAAACUCUGCAACCACUACAAGAAAAUGUAGGCACAACACUCCAAUAUGUCAGCACAGGAUCCAAAUUCCUUAACAAGACUCCUAAAGCACAAGAAGUAAAAUUUUAAAAGUCAAUAAGUG